RNAcentral lists this ribosomal RNA (491 nucleotides) under uncultured bacterium. Its description in RNAcentral is "partial 16S ribosomal RNA". It matches the Rfam family "Bacterial small subunit ribosomal RNA", at positions 29 to 507 of the family's 1533-position model. The record is from RNAcentral.
AGUGAACGCUGGCGGUAGGCCUAACACAUGCAAGUCGAACGGCAGCACAGUAAGAGCUUGCUCUUACGGGUGGCGAGUGGCGGACGGGUGAGGAAUACAUCGGAAUCUACUUUUUCGUGGGGGAUAACGUAGGGAAACUUACGCUAAUACCGCAUACGACCUACGGGUGAAAGCAGGGGAUCUUCGGACCUUGCGCGAAUGAAUGAGCCGGUGUCGGAUUAGCUAGUUGGCGGGGUAAAGGCCCACCAAGGCGACGAUCCGUAGCUGGUCUGAGAGGAGGAUAAGCCACGCUGGAGCUAAGACCCGGCCCAGACUCCUACGGAGGGCCGCAGUGGGAAGUGUGGGACAAGGGGGGCAAGCUUGAUCAAGCGAUGCAGCGUGGGUGAAGAAGGCCUUCGGGUUGUAAAGCGCUUUUGUGGGGAAAAAAAAUCAGCGGGUUAGGACCCCGCUGUUCGAAGGUACCCAAAGAAUAAGCACCGGCUAACUUCGUG